Camelus dromedarius (Arabian camel) is the source of this 105-nucleotide small nuclear RNA. The record is from Ensembl. NCBI's taxonomy places the organism in Eukaryota, Metazoa, Chordata, Mammalia, Artiodactyla, Camelidae.
AUGCCUGCUUCGGCGGCACAUAUACUAAAACUGAAACGACACAGAGAAGAUGGGCAUGGCCCCUGUGAGGACGACACGCAAAUUCGCAAAGUGUUUCAUAUUUCU